RNAcentral lists this long non-coding RNA (255 nucleotides) under Phoenix dactylifera (date palm). RNAcentral describes it as "long non-coding RNA (PDAC_LNC023072)". Lineage: Eukaryota; Viridiplantae; Streptophyta; Magnoliopsida; Arecales; Arecaceae. The record is from RNAcentral.
GUAAUAUCCGGGCCCAAUUUGAGCCCAAAACCUUUUUGGGCCUGUACUUGAGCAUUUGGGCCCAUUGUUGGCAGCCAUUUGAUUGCUGCUAUCUCAUGCCUGAGGAUGGAUGUGACUAGGGUAGGGACAGCUGGGAAGCUGUGGAGGGCCCAGCUGUUAGGCCCUUCACGAGGAGGAAGCUGGGGGUGACACGUCACCCCAGCUAAAGAUCCUGAUGUUGUGUAUUCCUAGGGCUCUCUCUCUCACUAUACCCCC